Molecule: long non-coding RNA, 1874 nt
Organism: Equus asinus (donkey)
Lineage: Eukaryota; Metazoa; Chordata; Mammalia; Perissodactyla; Equidae
Source: Ensembl
GACGAUUUGGUUUGCAGAACAGGUACAUGACUGUAUGUGCGAAUGGAUAUGUUACUAUUUUUGCCUUCUUGUAUGAUAGCUAAAUUCCAUCAGAGCCAUCAGUCUUCCUUCAUCAUAAGCUAUCCUAUGGUUGUGACAUGACAGGAUAGAAACAUAGUAGCCCUCUUCCACCUCUUUCUGUUGGUAACCAGCAAUGUCUAAAAAGAAAACAAACCCUAAAAUUCAUGAAUGGCUUCUGAUCAGCUCCCAUCAUUGUGUUUCCUGUGUCAACAAGUACUUAACGGAGUUUUCUUCUUCAGGAGCAACAGAGGGAGAAGGACUUUGCUAAUUAGAAGGAUGACUGGAGAGUAUGAUAUUGUAUAUCUCUAAUUAUUUUUUCUUUACUUUUAGGUGGAAAUUCUAAAAGGUAUUUGGGUGUGUGAAGAAUAUUCAAAAGAAUUUUCCUUUUUAUGCUUCACCUGCCAUGACACCUUUUCUCUGGGAGCAAUGUCAAAGAAGGGUAUUUUGAAAGAAAAUUCUGUUGCUGUGAUUAAGAGAAACACUCACAACUUAUCAAAGCAGUUGUUUGUGGAAGAAGCCUAGUGCCGAAAGUGAGGUCAAGAAGAAGAUGGGAAAUAAAUUUUCUCAAAGCCACGUAAAGGACACGCUCAAAAACCUUCUCCAUAAACUUCUCUGGAUCUAAAUAUCCACAGCAGACAUUUAUUUGGUGACAGAGCAAAAUGAUGUUUUGUAGACUUACAUGAAAAUCUGAACAUUUUGCUUAUAGUUCUUCUAAGAUGAAUACUGUAGGAACACUAAAGAAUAGGUCAAGAAAAGCAAACUUAUCAGUUAAGCUAUAAAGACACUAAAAAGAGAACAGAAGAAAAUUGCUUGGUUGAAAUAUAUCUACCUUUUCAGAACUCUCGCUCUUUUGCUUAUAUUUUGAAGGAGAGCAUUAUGAGUUUCCAGGGGCCAAUUUGCCUUACAACAUUCUCUUCUCUUCCUUUGCUUGAAUAUGCUGCUCAUGCUCUGACACCAGUAAAGAAGAAAUGACUUAUUAUGUGUGCUUUCAUUCCUUCCAGAAAAUGAAUUUUAUUGGUGCCUGUGGCUUGCACAUAACACAUUUUCAACCACUUCAUUUGUUGGAACCAGAGGGUUGGAAAGCACAAAAAAAUGUCAAGAUGGAGUGGAACGUGGCUUGCAAGAGAUUGAACCAUGCCUAAAAGAUAAGAAGCUAUGGAGGAUGAUGCAGAAGUUGGCCUGCUGCAUCACUUCAAAUAAUAGCCAGGUCCUGAAUUGAAGAUCAGAUCGUAACAGUUUCCUGACUGAAACUCCUCAAUACCUCCCAAUCACUCUUAAGGUAAAAUUCCAACUCCUUUCUUUGAUUCAUGAGACCUCUGUUAGGUAGACUUCUAAAAUGUCUCUCAAUGAUCCCUGCCUCCUAGUAUUCAUGCUGUUAAGCAAUUUCCUCCCCUAGUAUGUAGGCUAGACCCAGUCAUUUGCUCUGACGAAUAGAAUAAAAUAAAGCGAUGGGAUCUGACCUCUAAGAUUAGAAUACAAAAGACUAUGACUUCCAUCUUACUAGCAGACUCUUUACUUCUUGGUUUGCUCACUUUGAUGAAGCAAGCUGCCAUGCUGGAGAGACCCACAAGACAAGGAAUGAAGGGUAGCCUUUGGCCAUCAACUGCUGAGAAGCUGAAGCCCAGCUCAACAGCCCACAAGAAACUGAAUCUUGGCAACAACCAUAUGAAUGAACUUGGAAGUGGAUCCUUCUUGAGUUGAGACUUCAGAUGACCCCAGCUCUGGCCAACACCUUGACUGCCGCCUAUGAGAGACUCUGAAGUAGAGGAUCCAGUCCAACUACAUCCAGAUUUAUGACCUACAGCAACUGGGAG